GAUGAACGCUUUCUUCUUUCCUAAUACAUGCAAGUCGAGCGAACGGACGAGAAGCUUGCUUCUCUGAUGUUAGCGGCGGACGGGUGAGUAACACGUGGAUAACCUACCUAUAAGACUGGGAUAACUUCGGGAAACCGGAACUAAUACCGGAUAAUAUUUUGAACCGCAUGGUUCAAAAGUGAAAGACGGUCUUGCUGUCACUUAUAGAUGGAUCCGCGCUGCAUUAGCUAGUUGGUAAGGUAACGGCUUACCAAGGCAACGAUGCAUAGCCGACCUGAGAGGGUGAUCGGCCACACUGGAACUGAGACACGGUCCAGACUCCUACGGGAGGCAGCAGUAGGGAAUCUUCCGCAAUGGGCGAAAGCCUGACGGAGCAACGCCGCGUGAGUGAUGAAGGUCUUCGGAUCGUAAAACUCUGUUAUUAGGGAAGAACAUAUGUGUAAGUAACUGUGCACAUCUUGACGGUACCUAAUCAGAAAGCCACGGCUAACUACGUG
Molecule: ribosomal RNA, 497 nt
Filed under: uncultured bacterium
Lineage: Bacteria
Description: partial 16S ribosomal RNA
Rfam family: Bacterial small subunit ribosomal RNA
Source: RNAcentral